AUCCUGGCUCAGAGUGAACGCUGGCGGCGUGCUUAACACAUGCAAGUCGAACGAGAACGGCUCUAGCUUGCUAGAGUGUCAGCUAANUGGCGGACGGGUGAGUAAUGUAUAGUUAAUCUGCCCCUUGGAGAGGGAUAACAGUUGGAAACGACUGCUAAUACCUCAUACUCCUUCUUCCUUAGUGGAAGUUGGGAAACGGUUUAUUCUGCCAAGGGAUGAGACUAUAUGGUAUCAGGUAGUUGGUGGGGUAAGAGCCUACCAAGCCAAUGACACCUAGCUGGUCUGAGAGGAUGAUCAGCCACACUGGAACUGAGACACGGUCCAGACUCCUACGGGAGGCAGCAGUGGGGAAUAUUGCACAAUGGAGGAAACUCUGAUGCAGCAACGCCGCGUGGAGGAUGACACAUUUCGGUGCGUAAACUCCUUUUAUGGGAAGAUAAUGACGGUCCAUAUGAAUAAGCACCGGCUAACUCCGUGCCAGCAGCCGCGGUAAUACGGAGGGUGCAAGCGUUCUCGAAUCCUGGCGUAA
Molecule: ribosomal RNA, 529 nt
Filed under: uncultured prokaryote
Description: bacterial SSU rRNA
Rfam family: Bacterial small subunit ribosomal RNA
Source: RNAcentral